UGCAUAUCCAAAAAGCGGAGGAAAAGAAACUAACAAGGAUUCCCCUAGUAACUGCGAGUGAAGCGGGAAAAGCUCAAAUUUAAAAUCUGGUGGUCUUUGGCCAUCCGAGUUGUAAUCUAGAGAAGUGUUAUCCGCGCUGGACCGUGUACAAGUCCCCUGGAAUGGGGCGUCAUAGAGGGUGAGAAUCCCGUCUUUGACACGGACUACCAGGGCUUUGUGAUGCACUCUCAAAGAGUCGAGUUGUUUGGGAAUGCAGCUCAAAAUGGGUGGUAAAUUCCAUCUAAAGCUAAAUAUUGGCGAGAGACCGAUAGCGAACAAGUACCGUGAGGGAAAGAUGAAAAGAACUUUGGAAAGAGAGUUAAACAGUACGUGAAAUUGUUGAAAGGGAAACGCUUGAAGUCAGUCGCGUCUGCCAGGGAUCAACCUUACUUUUGUGAGGCGUACUUCCUGGUUGAUGGGUCAGCAUCAGUUUUGGUCGCUGGAUAAAGGUCAGAGAAAUGUGGCACCUUCGGGUGUGUUAUAGUCUUUGAUCAGAUACAGUGGCUGGGACUGAGGAACUCAGCGCCGCAAGGCUGUCUUAGGAUGCUGGCAAAAUGGCUUUAAUCGACCCGUCUUGAAACACGGACCAAAGGAGUCA
Molecule: ribosomal RNA, 637 nt
Filed under: Pleurotus ostreatus (oyster mushroom)
Lineage: Eukaryota; Fungi; Basidiomycota; Agaricomycetes; Agaricales; Pleurotaceae
Description: LSU rRNA
Rfam family: Eukaryotic large subunit ribosomal RNA
Source: RNAcentral